RNAcentral lists this long non-coding RNA (253 nucleotides) under Ananas comosus (pineapple). RNAcentral's name for it is "long non-coding RNA (ACOM_LNC041753)". Lineage: Eukaryota; Viridiplantae; Streptophyta; Magnoliopsida; Poales; Bromeliaceae. The record is from RNAcentral.
GUACAAUAAUGCUGAGGAAAUUUUCUUAUUUAUUAUUCCAACAUGCAUACGUACUCGUCAAGUCUUUGUUUCAAGUGGCAAAGGGCUUGGUGGUUGGUAUCCGAGACCCAAUUAAGUUCGAAUCCUAAUUGAUUCACAUUUCCAGUUAAGUUUAUUUCUAAAUGAAAUAAACGAAGCGGGUAGCGUGCUAUCUAUCUCUCUCAAAAAAAAAAAAAGUCUUUGUUUCAAGAAGCAGACUUAUUUUAAGAUUAAU